AACGAACGCUGGCGGCAUGCCUAACACAUGCAAGUCGAACGAGACCUUCGGGUCUAGUGGCGCACGGGUGCGUAACGCGUGGGAACCUGCCCUUAGGUUAGGAAUAACUCCCCGAAAGGGGUGCUAAUACCGGAUAAUGUCUUCGGACCAAAGAUUUAUCGCCUUUGGAUGGGCCCGCGUUGGAUUAGCUAGUUGGUAGGGUAAAAGCCUACCAAGGCGACGAUCCAUAGCUGGUCUGAGAGGAUGAUCAGCCACACUGGGACUGAGACACGGCCCAGACUCCUACGGGAGGCAGCAGUGGGUAAUAUUGUACAAUGGGCGAAAGCCUGAUCCAGCAAUGCCGCGUGAGUGAUGAAGGCCUUAGGGUUGUAAAGCUCUUUUACCCGGGAUGAUAAUGACAGUACCGGGAGAAUAAGCUCCGGCUAACUCCGUG
This 433-nucleotide ribosomal RNA is filed under the name uncultured bacterium. Its description in RNAcentral is "partial 16S ribosomal RNA". It matches the Rfam family "Bacterial small subunit ribosomal RNA", at positions 29 to 507 of the family's 1533-position model. The record is from RNAcentral.